Molecule: long non-coding RNA, 317 nt
Filed under: Elaeis guineensis (African oil palm)
Lineage: Eukaryota; Viridiplantae; Streptophyta; Magnoliopsida; Arecales; Arecaceae
Description: long non-coding RNA (EGUI_LNC043601)
Source: RNAcentral
CAUUCCCUCCGGUCAAGCACGACAAUCUAAUUUUAUCAAAUUCUACGAACGCGUUCAGUUUAUUUUCACAAAAAAUGAAUUCAGGUAAACAACCGAGUCUGGGAUAACAUUAAGAAAUUGAUGACUUUGACAGGGAGUCAACUCAGUCCAAACCAAAAAGUAAGAGGACCAGUACUACUAAAACAAGUUCUUCCCUUAAUAGAAACCUUAUUAACCAUUGAAUUCUUGUAUACUUUAAUUCAUAUCUAAUUUAUUCUUUUUAACUUUAUUUUAUAUAAUAAAUAUUUAUUCCUUUUGUAUUGACUUGCUAGUUAUAC